RNAcentral lists this ribosomal RNA (269 nucleotides) under uncultured archaeon. RNAcentral describes it as "partial 16S ribosomal RNA". It matches the Rfam family "Archaeal small subunit ribosomal RNA", at positions 477 to 746 of the family's 1478-position model. The record is from RNAcentral.
CAGCACCUCAAGUGGUCAGGAUGAUUAUUGGGCCUAAAGCAUCCGUAGCCGGCUCUGUAAGUUUUCGGUUAAAUCUGUAUGCUCAACAUACAGGCUGCCGGGAAUACUGCAGAGCUAGGGAGUGGGAGAGGUAGACGGUACUCGGUAGGAAGGGGUAAAAUCCUUUGAUCUAUUGAUGACCACCUGUGGCGAAGGCGGUCUACCAGAACACGUCCGACGGUGAGGGAUGAAAGCUGGGGGAGCAAACCGGAUUAGAGACCCGAGUAGCC